This 95-nucleotide transfer RNA is filed under the name Streptomyces vinaceus. RNAcentral's name for it is "tRNA-Ser". Lineage: Bacteria; Bacillati; Actinomycetota; Actinomycetes; Kitasatosporales; Streptomycetaceae. The record is from RNAcentral.
UCUCGCGCGUUCUUGAUGGCGGCGGCGAGGGCCCGCUGCUGCUGGGCCGUGACGCGGGUCACGCGGCGGCUGCGGAUCUUCCCGCGGUCGGAGAU